UGUCUUGUUAUUGAUUGCAUUUUCUUUGUUAUGUUUUGCUUUGUUUUACCGUUGAAAGUAACUGAAUAUUUCUUGUACCCUGGUAUUUAGACUUACACAGAGUAUUGGAAUGCUAUCCAGCACAUUUUUUAGGAGUACUCGGAAGGAAGAUAUUGUAGUUCCUAUGGUAAGAAUAGUUUUAGGUAUUGUUGUUGCAUACUUCUUAAAUGCUUUUGAAUUGUGUUCAAAAUUCUUUUCCAGCAGGCUUAUUGCUAUAUUUAUGUUGAAUGAAAGUAAAUUGACUGGAUAAUCAUUUAGGGGUGGCUAUGGGCCAGGUUUGGGCCAUGUCAAGGUCAGCCAGAAUCUAACCUAUUUACUAAUUGAGCCAAAAUCAGACUUCACAUACAUUAUUUUAAUGCAAGCCGAGGAUAAACAUCUUAUGCUAGAAGUAAGAUUCAUUUUUCUCUACUUGUUACUUUAUUAAAAGCAUGCCACUAUUUUUCUCUACAGUCCAAUCUGUUGAUAUGAUGGACUCCCUGUAGAUGGGAGAUGCACCAAAAAUUUGCCAAAUUGGAGGAUCCUAACAAUUAUUCUUAAGAGCAGUAACAACCCAUGUUCCGAGAUUUGUUUUGGGAGAUGAGUGUUUGAUGAUGCAGGCUGAAGUGUAUCAUUCGUACAUGGAAGUGUUACGUGGAUAUGAGAUUUUUAAUGCAGAUGGAGAUAUGUGGAGGAAGCAAAGAAAGACUGCAAGCUUGGAGUUCGCAUCAAAGAACUUGAGAGAUUCCAGUACUCUUGUAUUUAGAGACUAUGCCCUCAAGCUAUCAACUAUCUUAUGCCAAGCUUUUAUACAAAACCAACAAGUAGGCGUGCAGGAUGUCCAGGUAGUGCAAAAAGGUGGGCCCAAUCAGGAUGAGCACUUGGCCUGAAAAUUGAACAGGUCGACUCAGCGAGGAGGGCGACAACCAAUGAUCUGACCCAACAUACAGCUGUUGCCCAAUUGAUGUGUGGAUACACCUGUUUUUCAUGGUGGAAUCCACAUUUUGCAAGAAAGAAUUGGAUGUUCUACGCAUGUGCAAUUCCCACCGGCAACGGUAUAUCAUGCUAAAUUAGCUUUCUGUGCAGUUUUUGGUCUUAUACAAAAAAACUUUUGGUCUUAUAUAAAAAGUUUCAGGAUGACAAAUAGCCAACAUUUGGCAACAAGGACUUUUCCUCAAUUAUUGGCUUGCCGAUGUGCAAGUUAUAGAUUGGAGCCUUUUGUUGUUGUUGUAUAAUUUUUGUGAUGAUAGAAUUAGAGUUUCGUGCUUGGCAGAGAAAGGGUUAAGCAGAGGCUGGCACUUUAUCAUGGGGUGUUGCCCAUAUAUAUGUAGUUCUCCAAUGAUGCAGAAGAGACGUUCUCUUGAGCUCUGAAUCUCCUGCUGAGCCGAGGUUUGUUGAAGGAGGGAGAGCAUGUUACUCUUGUCCAAAGCUACAAUGCUCAGUUACUGCUGUUGAUGAUUACUACUGAAUAUUUUGGCCAGGCAUUGGUGAAAAAUGCAACAGAUGUUAUUCUGAAUAUUCCACAGGGUUGGCACUAGGCAGAACAUGCUAAAAUGCCAUUUGCUUAAACUUCGGUUUUGCAAGA
Long non-coding RNA from Magnolia sinica, 1600 nucleotides. RefSeq lists it as uncharacterized. The transcript has 3 exons. NCBI's taxonomy places the organism in Eukaryota, Viridiplantae, Streptophyta, Magnoliopsida, Magnoliales, Magnoliaceae. The record is from RefSeq and is a predicted model, not a curated record.